This 149-nucleotide transfer RNA is filed under the name Pseudopyrenochaeta lycopersici CRA-PAV_ER 1211. RNAcentral describes it as "tRNA-Und (NNN) (tRNA-Und-NNN-1-1)". The record is from RNAcentral. Lineage: Eukaryota; Fungi; Ascomycota; Dothideomycetes; Pleosporales; Pseudopyrenochaetaceae.
CUCCUCUUGGUGUAGUUGGUUUGUACGUCUUACCCUUCCCCCUCAAGGUGCACAGUGUGUGGAACCCGGGCUGACUUGCGCAGAUCACGUUCGACUGUAAUAGUUAUUCUGCUAUCGAAAGGUCCCUAGUUCGAUUCUGGGAGAGGAGA